GAUGAACGCUGGCGGCGUGCUUAACACAUGCAAGUCGAACGGAAAGGCUCCUGCUUGCAGGGGUACUCGAGUGGCGAACGGGUGAGUAACACGUGGGUGAUCUGCCCUGCACUUCGGGAUAAGCCUGGGAAACUGGGUCUAAUACCGGAUAGGACGAUGGUUUGGAUGCCAUUGUGGAAAGUUUUUCGGUGUGGGAUGAGCUCGCGGCCUAUCAGCUUGUUGGUGGGGUAAUGGCCUACCAAGGCGUCGACGGGUAGCCGGCCUGAGAGGGUGUACGGCCACAUUGGGACUGAGAUACGGCCCAGACUCCUACGGGAGGCAGCAGUGGGGAAUAUUGCACAAUGGGCGCAAGCCUGAUGCAGCGACGCCGCGUGGGGGAUGACGGCCUUCGGGUUGUAAUCUCCUUUCGCUAGGGACGAAGCGCAAGUGACGGUACCUGGAGAAGAAGCACCGGCUAACUACGUG
RNAcentral lists this ribosomal RNA (465 nucleotides) under uncultured bacterium. Its description in RNAcentral is "partial 16S ribosomal RNA". It matches the Rfam family "Bacterial small subunit ribosomal RNA", at positions 28 to 507 of the family's 1533-position model. The record is from RNAcentral.